RNAcentral lists this ribosomal RNA (328 nucleotides) under uncultured bacterium. Its description in RNAcentral is "bacterial SSU rRNA". It matches the Rfam family "Bacterial small subunit ribosomal RNA", at positions 568 to 898 of the family's 1533-position model. The record is from RNAcentral.
CGUGUAGGCGGUGCGGUAAGUUGGGCGUGAAAUCCCCGAGCUUAACUCGGGUGGGCCGUUCAAGACUGCCGUGCUAGGGUGCGGGAGAGGGCAGUGGAAUUUCCGGUGUAGCGGUGAAAUGCGUAGAUAUCGGGAGGAACACCUGCGGCGAAGGCGGCUGCCUGGACCGUAACCGACGCUGAGGCGCGAAAGCUAGGGGAGCAAACAGGAUUAGAUACCCUGGUAGUCCUAGCCCUAAACGAUGAGCACUGGGUGUGGCCCCUCACGGGGCCGUGCCGAAGCUAACGCAUUAAGUGCUCCGCCUGGGGAGUACGGUCGCAAGGCUGAA